RNAcentral lists this ribosomal RNA (250 nucleotides) under uncultured Bradyrhizobiaceae bacterium. RNAcentral describes it as "partial 16S ribosomal RNA". It matches the Rfam family "Bacterial small subunit ribosomal RNA", at positions 524 to 773 of the family's 1533-position model. The record is from RNAcentral. Lineage: Bacteria; Pseudomonadati; Pseudomonadota; Alphaproteobacteria; Hyphomicrobiales; Nitrobacteraceae.
UACGAAGGGGGCUAGCGUUGCUCGGAAUCACUGGGCGUAAAGGGUGCGUAGGCGGAUUUUUAAGUCAGAGGUGAAAGCCUGGAGCUCAACUCCAGAACUGCCUUUGAUACUGGGAAUCUUGAGUUCGGGAGAGGUGAGUGGAACUGCGAGUGUAGAGGUGAAAUUCGUAGAUAUUCGCAAGAACACCAGUGGCGAAGGCGGCUCACUGGCCCGAUACUGACGCUGAGGCACGAAAGCGUGGGGAGCAAAC